GAGAAGCCUUAUACAACUAAUUAAUAAAAAUUACAAGUUGCUCGACCUAGAUAACAAUUAGAACUGACUAAAUAAUCGUCGAUUGUUAACAAGAAUAGCUGCCGACUUUCGUUUUCACAAAAGAUGAGUUUUAUGUUGCCUCGUAAAAAAGUAAAUGUGAGAACGUAUAAAAAGGAAUAUAAAAUGAUAAAUUACUAAGUGAAGUUGAAAUUCGUCAACAGUAUAUUAUAAUUACUAGAUAAUUAAUCAUGGCAUUCACCUGCAGCCAGUUGCCAACCUUUUGGACAGCUAACACACUGAUUUCUUCUUGGCCCAGAACA
Long non-coding RNA from Ceratosolen solmsi marchali, 320 nucleotides. RefSeq lists it as uncharacterized. NCBI's taxonomy places the organism in Eukaryota, Metazoa, Arthropoda, Insecta, Hymenoptera, Agaonidae. The record is from RefSeq and is a predicted model, not a curated record. The transcript is spliced from 3 exons.